AUCUGUCAAAUGGGUGAUAAUACUGACC
Molecule: non-coding RNA, 28 nt
Filed under: Mus musculus (house mouse)
Lineage: Eukaryota; Metazoa; Chordata; Mammalia; Rodentia; Muridae
Source: RNAcentral